GAAGAAGAGCACGGGAGUCCCGGCGAGCGGGGACUGAGAGUGGGCGCGCCCGCCCUUACCGUCGAACCUGAUCCGGGUCAUGCCGGCGAAGGGAGCAGAGGAUGCCGAUGG
RNAcentral lists this non-coding RNA (111 nucleotides) under Mycobacterium sp. RNAcentral's name for it is "TPP sequence". It matches the Rfam family "TPP riboswitch aptamer (THI element)". Rfam says of the family: Vitamin B(1) in its active form thiamin pyrophosphate (TPP) is an essential coenzyme that is synthesised by coupling of pyrimidine and thiazole moieties in bacteria. The previously detected thiamin-regulatory element, thi box was extended, resulting in a new, highly conserved RNA secondary structure, the THI element, which is widely distributed in eubacteria and also occurs in some archaea. The record is from RNAcentral. Lineage: Bacteria; Bacillati; Actinomycetota; Actinomycetes; Mycobacteriales; Mycobacteriaceae.